GCAAAACGCGAAGAACCUUACCAAGGCUUGACAUAUACGAGAACGGGCCAGAAAUGGUCAACUCUUUGGACACUCGUAAACAGGUGGUGCAUGGUUGUCGUCAGCUCGUGUCGUGAGAUGUUGGGUUAAGUCCCGCAACGAGCGCAACCCUCGUUCUAUGUUGCCAGCACGUAAUGGUGGGAACUCAUGGGAUACUGCCGGGGUCAACUCGGAGGAAGGUGGGGAUGACGUCAAAUCAUCAUGUCCCUUAUGUCUUGGGCUUCACGCAUGCUACAAUGGCCGGUACAAAGGGCUGCAAUACCGUAAGGUGGAGCGAAUCCCAAAAAGCCGGUCCAGUUCGGAUUGAGGUCUGCAACUCGACCUCAUGAAGUCGGAGUCGCUAGUAAUCGCAGAUCAGCAACGCUGCGGUGAAUACGUUCCCGGGUCUUGUACACAC
RNAcentral lists this ribosomal RNA (436 nucleotides) under uncultured bacterium. RNAcentral describes it as "bacterial SSU rRNA". It matches the Rfam family "Bacterial small subunit ribosomal RNA", at positions 954 to 1390 of the family's 1533-position model. The record is from RNAcentral.